Molecule: microRNA precursor, 103 nt
Filed under: Marmota monax (woodchuck)
Lineage: Eukaryota; Metazoa; Chordata; Mammalia; Rodentia; Sciuridae
Source: RNAcentral
AGUGAGGUGGCUGGGUCAAAUAGUAUUUCCAUUCCAAGUUUUUUGAGGAAUAUCUAUACUGCUUUCCAUAGUGGUUGCACUAAUUUGCAGUCCCACCAGCAAG